RNAcentral lists this ribosomal RNA (253 nucleotides) under uncultured bacterium. RNAcentral describes it as "partial 16S ribosomal RNA". It matches the Rfam family "Bacterial small subunit ribosomal RNA", at positions 524 to 776 of the family's 1533-position model. The record is from RNAcentral.
UACGAGUGCCCCAAGCGUUAUCCGGAAUCAUUGGGCGUAAAGGGUGUGUAGGCGGUUGUGUUAGUCUUUUGUUAAAUUCUUCGGCUUAACCGGGGGCAUGCAAAGGAAACGGCACAACUAGAGGAUGCGAGAGGUGAAUGGAACUCAUGGAGUAGGGGUGAAAUCCGUUGAUAUCAUGGGGAACACCAAAAGCGAAGGCAAUUCACUGGCGCACUCCUGACGCUGAGACACGAAAGCGUAGGUAGCGAAUGGG